GGAGCCUCCCUCAUAGGAGUGCCCAGAAGCCUGUCACCUGGGUGACUCGAGAUUCUGACAAGUUGACAUCACAUCACACAGUGCAUCAGAGGAGAUGGACGGAGGCCAGGUCCUGAGGAAUUAGGAGGAUGCUAAUUGCAGGAGGGAAGGCUCAGUGGGAGGGCCACCCCAGGCAAAGGGAGCAGUCUAUGCAAAGGAGGCUCAAAGCAUUCAUUAGAUGAGAACACGGGGCAGAGGCCAGAAUCGGAAGAAACAGACAGACUGGAAGAGGCAUCCAACAACCAUUUGGAACCUGUUCUUCCGGGCUGGUGUGUCCCCGGCCGCGGCAAUUAGUCAGACCCAGCCCCGCCCUUCUGAUUCGGAAAGAUACAGUCACAGACCUGGAAACUCACGGGUGGAGCGGCGCAUGCACGCCGUGGUCUAAGGCCGAAGGACAAUGUUUAAGAGGGACACGGUGCAUCAAUGUUGGCAUCUAAGCAGGACCCUGUCCCUCCCCCAAGAUGUUCCCACCCGCUCUGUUGUCCCAGGAGUGAAGUCCCAGAGUCAGGACCAAGGACAGAGCCGUCAUUAUCAGGACCACAGACAGUACCUCACCAGCUAGAGGAGUCAGGGCAAGUACUGGGGAAAUGGAGACAUGGCGUCCCUCCUUCCUGUAGGAUGGUAUGGAGUGAGCUGGUCGGAAGAUCCAGUCAGUCUCACAGAGCGCGGGCAUUCCUUUGACACGCAUCUAUGGAGUGCUGAGGCAUCCGCUUGGUCGGUAGAGCACUCGCUUAGCAUUUAUGGGAAGGUGGACCCCAUCCUCAGCGGCAGAUAAACCGGAUGUAACAGUGCGUGUCUGCGAUCUCAACACUCGGAAUGUGGAGGCAACAGGAGAAAGAGUUCAAGGUCAGCUUGGCUGCGUAGUAAGUUCAAGGCCAGCCUGGGACCCUGUCUCAGAAACAAUUAUGCAGCACGUUUCCAGUGCAGCAAACAUUGUUUUGUACCAUGUGGAUAGCAAGGAUCGUAUCAUUAUCAAGUAGGCAAAUGGGAACAUAAGUUCACAGCGAGAGACAGACAGACAGACAGACAGACAGACACACAGCCUGGAGAGGUGGCUCUGUGGUUGGGAGAGCAGGCUGUUCUUGCAGAGGAUCUGGCUUUCAUUCCCAGCACCAACAUAGCUGCUCACAACAGCCUGUAACUCCAGUUCUGGGGGGGGGGUCUGACGGCCUCUUCUGAUCUCCGUGGGCACCAGGAACACUCGUGAUGCACAGACAUGCAUGCAGACAAACACCCGUACAUAUAAAACAAACACAAACACUAAAAGGGAGGUAAGAUCAUUUUACUUUAGCAUUGACCCCAUGUAACGACAAGGCCUGUCUGAGAGGCAGGGUGACCAGAGUGGAUGCUGUGUUAGUUCCUGUUUCCUUGGGAUGGCACACCAGAGAGAAUCACCUUGUGAGAAGGAAGAUUAAUUCUGCCUCUCGGUCCGUAAUGGCGCAAGCAUGGCAGAAAGCACGGUGGUAGCAUUGGGAUGCCUCUUCAGUUCUGAGUGGGUCGGACGACAGAGACAGAGGUGAACGACGGCUCUCUACGGGCUCCCCUCCCCCCAAGGUUGUUCGUUCGAGGCUCCCAGAGCACAAGUUAUCCCUCGGGGUGCUUCUGUACCCUUCUCAGCCUGUCCUCUCUGAAAACACCGUUGUUACAGACAGUGGGUCUGCUUAGGGAUAUCUAGGGUCCUCUGGUCCAGG
Molecule: long non-coding RNA, 1730 nt
Organism: Apodemus sylvaticus (European woodmouse)
Lineage: Eukaryota; Metazoa; Chordata; Mammalia; Rodentia; Muridae
Exons: 3
Source: RefSeq, a predicted model, not a curated record